This 246-nucleotide long non-coding RNA is filed under the name Gossypium raimondii (Peruvian cotton). RNAcentral's name for it is "long non-coding RNA (GRAI_LNC010641)". The record is from RNAcentral. Lineage: Eukaryota; Viridiplantae; Streptophyta; Magnoliopsida; Malvales; Malvaceae.
AGAAAUAUAAGAAACUCAUAUUACUUAUAUUAUCAACAAUAUAAUACAAAAAAAAAUUAAACAUCACUAACAUUAAAAUAUUAAAAUUAUUGCAUAAUCCAUAAUUUAUUUAUUUUUUAAAGAACAACACACAAUAACCCAUUAUUACCCGAUCACCCAAAACCCAAAAAAUAAAAAUAAAAAGUUCCCAAAAUCCCCCAAGCCCUAAGCCCUAAGCCCUAAGCCUCAACCCCCUUCCCUUUUUUU